CUAUUAUUCUUACUGUCUCUUUCUUUACAGAAAAUGACACAUCAAUCCCAUCUGUUUUUGAAACACCCAAUUGUACCCUCGGCCUUUAUUUCAUGCUGAAACCUCAUUUUCAUCUGUAUAUAUAAAUAGGACCAUCCAUAUGACAUUCCUUAUCUUUCUUUCAUAACACAAAGGUCAAACCUCAACAUGACCUCUUGUUAUCUUCCUUGUUCUCUGGUUUCAACCAUGGCUCUCCAAGUUGCUAAGAAACCUGUGUUUGGAGCCAUGGUCAUUGACUUUGGUCUAUGUCAUACAGCAACAAACUCCAGUAAUUUAAUGUUGUAGAGGGCAUGGCGGUAUCUCUCCUGAGCUUAUCCUUCUUAUUUCUUCUUCCUCCUUCUUCCAACUAUACAAAGGCGGCUCAAGUUUUCUUGACCUUGCAAGUCCGAGAAACUGACAUUUCUAGUCAAAGUCGUCUUUUCCAUUCUUCAAGAGGACCCAAAAAUGAAAAAACUAUCUUGAAUUCUGGAAGUUCUUCCUCCCUUUCUAUCCCUCCUGAGCUAUAUCCUUGACAUCGAGCACUUUUAGGUGUGUUCUCAUGUUGCAUAUGUCGAAGUAGUUUUCAUUCUUAUGUUUCUUGUUUUCUUGUUUUUAAUUUGUUGAAGAAUACGUUGUAUAUACAAUACAUGUAUGAAGCAGACAUAGCUUGUAUGGAUACCUUAACCAGUUUGUUGUACAAUGCUAUUUUGGUUAACAUAUUUUUAUUCUUCAUUUUCAGUAUCUAAAAUUAUGUAAUGGAGAUGCAAACUAAAAUAGAGAAAAUAUAGUAACUUUUUAAGUGACAUUUCGUACCCACCAAAAUUUGGAGAAGUGGUGUUUUCCUGAUGCGGCAUUUGUACCAUUUUUUUCAUGUCUUCACUUCACUUUCAGGAUUUAAUUAUCAUCUAAAGCUAUAAAGUUCACGAAGGAGAAAAAGGUCCGAUUUUUUCUGUUUUAGGAACUCGACGAGCCACACUGAAAUGGAUUAGAUUAGAUUUGUAUUUUAGGGUUCUGCAUUAGAGUUUCGUGACUGUAAUAUCACGUGACCUUUGUUAAUAAGAACUAAAGGCUACACAUGACACAUAUUUGCAAGCAGGAGGUUCACUUUUCUUUCCUUAUGGAUGGUGCAUGUUUUCAUUUAUAAUAGAUGAUUAAUAUAUAUAUUUAUUAAUUUUAAAUAAUAAAAUAUAUAUCAAUCAUUUAAUAUCAAAAUAUAUAAAACAUAUGUUACUAUCCUGUUAGCUAUAUAUAUAUAUUAAAUUAGAUAAGAAUUUUUCCUCAAAUAAAAGAGAAUUCCAUCCAUCAGUGCACGUGCUACUCUUACUCUCCAUACCAAAAUGGAAAAGUUACUUCUCCUCUCUGGUAUUCUAUUAUAGAAACAUACAAUUUUUAUUGUGUAUUUUACAAGCUAAUAGAAAUAAGUUUAAAGGUAAGUUAAAUUUCCUGUACGGAUAAACCCUGCUGUCUGCAUCAUUUUAAAUGUUCCUAAGAAAAAGUUCAUCAAUGCCAACUACAUUAUAAACAGUCUUGCCAGAAAACUUGCAACAGCUCAUAACUUUUAUGCUAAAGCCCUUCAUAUAUCAGCCCAAUUAUAAGUUCUCCCAUAUGAAGCUGGGGAGCAACUGUGAAACGUUUCUCACAAUUGCCAAUUCCUCUUGGGUCGAGCUUUGAUGUUUUGAGCAAGACACUGGUCAGAUAUGUGACAAAAUCCAUUAACGAGUCUGUAGAUAUGAAACGUAGAAAAGCCCAUAGUUUUUCAGAGAUCAAAGUAUUUCAGAUUGUAAGGUGCCGAAGCAAGACUAGAAUCCGACUUCCCUGAAAUUCAUACCUACUAUAUAUAGAAUUUUGAGUGCAAUAGCAAACAUGUGACUACAUUUGAUGCGAAAAAGCUUGUACUAUUAUCAGCCGGAAAAAAGAAGAAAAGAAGAAAGGAAUUGAAGAGCCAGAGGCUCCCUAACCGCCCAAUUGACAUUUCAAUGAUAUAUACAAGACAAAAACCCAAUCACCUAUAUAAUACACCACUAGGUACUUUCAACACAUUCAUUUCAUUUUUCUUUCUCUUGUUUUCUUUUUUCUCUUCUACUUUUUAUCAUUUACUUAAGCUGCAAGAACUAAUACUUUUAUUGUACCCUGGCUAUUUGCUGUUAGCAUUGUCGGACUAUCACUCUUCCAGCAGACAGCACUAAUGAAGUACGAUCCUGCAUCCUCAUCAGCAUCGUCCAUUUCCGGUGAACCAAAUCUAUGCCAUGUCACAGGUCUUGAAAUUUCCUGA
RNAcentral lists this long non-coding RNA (2290 nucleotides) under Ricinus communis (castor bean). RNAcentral describes it as "long non-coding RNA (RCOM_LNC003178)". Lineage: Eukaryota; Viridiplantae; Streptophyta; Magnoliopsida; Malpighiales; Euphorbiaceae. The record is from RNAcentral.